GAAGGGUGCAAGCGUUACUCGGAAUUACUGGGCGUAAAGGGUGCGUAGGUGGUUGUUUAAGUCUGCUGUGAAAGCCCCGGGCUCAACCUGGGAAUGGCAGUGGAUACUGGACAGCUAGAGUGCGGUAGAGGGUAGUGGAAUUCCCGGUGUAGCAGUGAAAUGCGUAGAGAUCGGGAGGAACACCAGUGGCGAAGGCGGCUACCUGGACCAGCACUGACACUGAAGCACGAAAGCGUGGGGAGCAAACAGGAUUAGAUACCCUGGUAGUCCACGCCCUAAACGAUGCGAACUGGACGUUGGGUGCAACUUGGCACUCAGUGUCGAAGCUAACGCGUUAAGUUCGCCGCCUGGGGAGUACGGUCGCAAGACUG
RNAcentral lists this ribosomal RNA (371 nucleotides) under uncultured bacterium. RNAcentral's name for it is "bacterial SSU rRNA". It matches the Rfam family "Bacterial small subunit ribosomal RNA", at positions 527 to 896 of the family's 1533-position model. The record is from RNAcentral.